Molecule: ribosomal RNA, 253 nt
Filed under: uncultured bacterium
Lineage: Bacteria
Description: partial 16S ribosomal RNA
Rfam family: Bacterial small subunit ribosomal RNA
Source: RNAcentral
UACAGAGGGGGCAAGCGUUAUUCGGAAUUAUUGGGCGUAAAGGGCGCGUAGGCGGCUUGGCAAGUGGAAGGUGAAAUCCCUCGGCUUAACCGAGGAACUGCCCUCCAAACUGCUUCGCUUGAGACCGGGAGAGGUGAGUGGAAUUCCCAGUGUAGCGGUGAAAUGCGUAGAUAUUGGGAGGAACACCAGUGGCGAAGGCGGCUUACUGGACCGGUACUGACGCUGAUGCGCGAAAGCGUGGGGAGCAAACGGG